RNAcentral lists this ribosomal RNA (406 nucleotides) under uncultured bacterium. RNAcentral describes it as "partial 16S ribosomal RNA". It matches the Rfam family "Bacterial small subunit ribosomal RNA", at positions 30 to 526 of the family's 1533-position model. The record is from RNAcentral.
AUUGAACGCUGGCGGCAGGCCUAACACAUGCAAGUCGAACGAGUGGCGGACGGGUGAGUAAUGUCUGGGAAACUGCCUGAUGGAGGGGGAUAACUACUGGAACCGGUAGCUAAUACCGCAUACCAUCAGAUGUGCCCAGAUGUGAUUAGCUAGUUGGUGGGGUAACGGCUCACCAAGGCGACGACCCCUCGCUGGUCUGAGAGGAUGACGAGCCACACUGGAACUGGGACACGGUCACGACUCCUACGGGAGGCAGCAGUGGGGAAUAUUGCACAAUGGGCGCAAGCCUGAUGCAGCCAGGCCGCGUGUAUGAAGACGGCCUUCGGGUUGUAAAGUACUUUCAGCGGGGAGGCGUUACCCAAAGAAGAAGCACCGGCUAACUCCGUGCCAGCAGCCGCGGUAAUUC